GGGCCCGCACAAGCGGUGGAGUAUGUGGUUUAAUUCGAUGCAACGCGAAGAACCUUACCAGGACUUAAAUGUAAGUUGCAUGAUUCAGAAAUGAAUCUUUCUUCGGACUACUUACAAGGUGCUGCAUGGUUGUCGUCAGCUCGUGCCGUGAGGUGUCAGGUUAAGUCCUAUAACGAGCGCAACCCCUAUCGUUAGUUGCCAUCAAGUAAAGUUGGGAACUCUAGCGAAACUGCCGGUGCAAACCGUGAGGAAGGUGGGGAUGACGUCAAAUCAUCACGGCCCUUACGUUCUGGGCUACACACGUGCUACAAUGGCCGGUACAGAAAGCAGCCACUAUGCGAAUAGGAGCUAAUCUUUAAAACCGGUCUCAGUUCGGAUCGCAGUCUGCAACUCGACUGCGUGAAGCUGGAAUCGCUAGUAAUCGGAUAU
RNAcentral lists this ribosomal RNA (429 nucleotides) under uncultured bacterium. RNAcentral's name for it is "bacterial SSU rRNA". It matches the Rfam family "Bacterial small subunit ribosomal RNA", at positions 917 to 1349 of the family's 1533-position model. The record is from RNAcentral.